CUGCUCCCAUCAGCAGCUCAUGUGCUAAAAGUAAGACUAUGCAGAGAUAAGUAUAGCCCCUGUGCAAGGAUGCCACUUAGAUUCAGGAAGUGAAAUCAAUAUUU
Molecule: small nuclear RNA, 104 nt
Organism: Nannospalax galili (Upper Galilee mountains blind mole rat)
Lineage: Eukaryota; Metazoa; Chordata; Mammalia; Rodentia; Spalacidae
Source: Ensembl